CAGCAGUAGCCGCGGGAAUACGAAGGGUGCAAACCUUGCUCGGAAUUAUUGGGCGUAAAGCGCACGUAGGCGGCUCCGCAAGUCGGAUGUGAAAUCCCUCGGCUUAACCAAGGAAGUGCAUCCGAAACUGCAGAGCUUGAGUACUUAAGAGGAUCGCGGAAUUCCCGGUGUAGAGGUGAAAUUCGUAGAUAUCGGGAGGAACACCAGUGGCGAAGGCGGCGAUCUGGGAAGAUACUGACGCUGAGGUGCGAAAGCGUGGGGAGCAAACAGGAUUAGAUACCCCCGUAGUCCCUGUCUCUUAUAC
This 304-nucleotide ribosomal RNA is filed under the name uncultured bacterium. RNAcentral describes it as "partial 16S ribosomal RNA". It matches the Rfam family "Bacterial small subunit ribosomal RNA", at positions 506 to 807 of the family's 1533-position model. The record is from RNAcentral.